CCAGUCGAUGAUUCACAUCUUUCCUCGCCGCCAGAAAACAGAGCCCCACCAAGUGGCGGGCUUCCUUGUGAAAAGCAGCUUUGAUGAAGAGGCUUUUUGAUGUCCUUGCUAACCUCAAAUUCAUUGCUAAAUUCAUCCUUAUCUAAAGGUGAUGCGGUACCUGACGCUCCAUUGCUCACACCAGGUUCAAUUUGAAGGUAUUCAUACCCCCGUUGUGAAUUCAAAAGGUCACCCUCCACUGGAAUGCUGGAUCUUCCAUCAGCCAAAAAGCAAGUCUCCAAGAAAUAACUUCCUUUUAAUGAAAAUCUGUUACCAGAUGUCCAUCCAUGGAGGUCAAUCUUCCGGAGUACUGGGGAUAAGCAUUCAGCAAACGGACAAUCCAACAAUUUAGAUGAGUAUUUGGGCUGAGAAACAAGUUCCCUCUUAGAAUUUUCCUCUUCAAGUUCUGGAGUAUGUUUCUCAAACUCUCCAAAUAUGAUUCUUUCACAUUCCUCACGAAACAAAUGAUCACCCUCUUUGGAAAGAUUCUCCAAAGGAGAAGAGUAAAGGUGAGGAGAAGACUGAUGAUAUUGGAACCUGCUACUUUCUAUUGUCCAAGCAUGGCGGUCAAUCUUCCAGGGCACUAUGGGCAAGCAUUUGGCAAAUGAACCAUCCGACAACCCAAAAGAAUAUUUUGGCUGAGGAACAUACUCCAUUUCAGUAUUUUCCUCUUGAAGCUCUGCCGGAUCUUUCUCAGCAUCUCCAAAUGUGAUUCUUUCACAUUCCUUACGAAACAAAUGAUCUCCCUCUUUUUUAAGAUUCUCCAAAGGGGGAGAGAAAAGGUGGCGAGAAGGCUGAUGAUCUUGGAACCAGCUACUUUCUAUUGUCCACACUCGGUGGUCAAUCUUCGGGGGCACUAUGGGUAAGCAUUCAGCAAAUGAACCAUCCAACAAACUGGAAGAGUGUUUUGGCUGAGAAAAAAAUUCCAUCUCAGUAUUUUCUUCUGCAAGUUCUACAGGAUCUUUCUGGAACUCUUGAAAUGUGAUUCUUUCACAUUCCUUAUGAAACAUAUGAUCACGCUGUUUGGCAAGAUUCUUCAAAGGGGAAGAGUGAAGGUGAGUAGAAGACUGGUGACUUUGGAACCUGCUACUUUCUAAUGGCAGCUCAGCAUCCUCUAACAUAUCCACAUCAAAAGAAUCUAGCAACAAAAAGAAAACUUAAUAUGUCAGCACAGAGGAAUAAAAAAAAGUUUUUCUGGAGAAAUCAAUGGAAAAAUUAACUAAUGAAAAAGUUAUUCCUCUAGCAUCCACAAGAUAUUAUGCCGCAUUAAAUGAAAUAAUUCUAAUAUAAAGGGGAUGAAGAACUUGACACAGAUAGAUUUUUGACGUACAAAAGUAUGAAAGGUACCUCCAGCAGAUAUGAUGUUGUUAUGUUUAUUCAACAUUUCAUCUUUUCCAAAUUUAUUGGCUGUGCAACUCAUGGAUACUCCUGGAAAUUUCAGUCAUUAAGAAUCACUUCUUGACCCAUUAUAUGAAUGCAACAACCAUAGCAAGCAAUUUUCAUGAGAGUGAGUAUACCAUGCGCUAUUUUUUUCAUCCAUGCAGAACGGAUAGCCCGCUCAAUGAAGGCAAGUACAGGUUCCCAGUCCUGGAACAAGAGCGAACAGACAGAGCUCAAUAGCCCCAAAAAAGCUAAAUAAAUAAACCACUUGAGGAUGUUAAUAAAUAUACAUAAUUAGGUCACAAUUCAUGAUCAGACAUGAAAUUCAUUACCUUGAAUACAACAUGUGUCUUUAAUGGGUCAAAGGUCAAAUCAUAGAGAGAAUGUGGGCAACGUAAAUUUAACAGGUAAGCUGGACAUGCUUGAGACUUACUUCUCUUUCCUUUAAGGAAUCCAUUAUUGGCCUUCCAUGAAUCCGAACAAUCAAAACUAGCAGCCAAAUGAUUCAACAACUUGUGGAUGGACCCUUUGCAUACAUACCUUGAAUUAAUAUCUGACAUUAUGAAGGUCUACAAAAAACCCGCUUCCGCUUCCGUUUGUACUUGAAGCACCCAGUCGAUGAUUCACAUCUUUCCUCGCCGCCAGAAAACAGAGCCCCACCAAGUGGCGGGCUUCCUUGUGAAAAGCAGCUUUGAUGAAGAGGCUUUUUGAUGUCCUUGCUAACCUCAAAUUCAUUGCUAAAUUCAUCCUUAUCUAAAGGUGAUGCGGUACCUGACGCUCCAUUGCUCACACCAGGUUCAAUUUGAAGGUAUUCAUACCCCCGUUGUGAAUUCAAAAGGUCACCCUCCACUGGAAUGCUGGAUCUUCCAUCAGCCAAAAAGCAAGUCUCCAAGAAAUAACUUCCUUUUAAUGAAAAUCUGUUACCAGAUGUCCAUCCAUGGAGGUCAAUCUUCCGGAGUACUGGGGAUAAGCAUUCAGCAAACGGACAAUCCAACAAUUUAGAUGAGUAUUUGGGCUGAGAAACAAGUUCCCUCUUAGAAUUUUCCUCUUCAAGUUCUGGAGUAUGUUUCUCAAACUCUCCAAAUAUGAUUC
Molecule: long non-coding RNA, 2511 nt
Filed under: Citrus sinensis (sweet orange)
Lineage: Eukaryota; Viridiplantae; Streptophyta; Magnoliopsida; Sapindales; Rutaceae
Description: long non-coding RNA (CSIN_LNC000475)
Source: RNAcentral